This 74-nucleotide transfer RNA is filed under the name Alphaproteobacteria bacterium. Its description in RNAcentral is "tRNA-Ile". It matches the Rfam family "tRNA". Rfam says of the family: Transfer RNA (tRNA) molecules are approximately 80 nucleotides in length. Their secondary structure includes four short double-helical elements and three loops (D, anti-codon, and T loops). RNAcentral also lists the same sequence under 1 other name. Lineage: Bacteria; Pseudomonadati; Pseudomonadota; Alphaproteobacteria. The record is from RNAcentral.
GCGCCCGUAGCUCAGUUGGUCAGAGCGGGCCGCUCAUAACGGCUUGGUCGCAGGUUCGAGCCCUGCCGGGCGCA